This 781-nucleotide long non-coding RNA is filed under the name Anas platyrhynchos platyrhynchos (common mallard). RNAcentral describes it as "lncRNA (ENSAPLG00000024390.1)". The record is from RNAcentral. Lineage: Eukaryota; Metazoa; Chordata; Aves; Anseriformes; Anatidae.
CUGGCAUAGAAGCAUAUGCUCUCACAGAGUGGAUUUUGUUAUUCAGAAAUAACUUCCUUUGCCAAAGAGAGAAUAAUUUGGAAGAGGGAAAUGAAACUGUUAUUGCUUUGUGGCUUAUUGCAUGGUAUCUCUUCAUAGCACAAUAGCAGUUCAUAAAGAAAAGAGUGAAGAAUUUUAGAGAGAUCAUUUGUUUUUCUGGCUUUCCCAAGCUUCAUAAUUUAUAUAUAUAUAUAUAUAUAUUUUUUUUUUUUCUAGGCUAAAUCAUAAAAAUGGAGUGAAAUAUACCUCACAGGAGUAUUAUUUACUUAGUUUUCCCACAAUCGGAGUGAUUUUCCCUAACUUCCAACAUUGCCACUCCAACUUGUUCUCAGAAACUGUCAUUGAUGGAAAUUCAGGAAUCUUCCAGAAUACUGCUUCAAGAGAGCUAUGCACUUUGCAAUUGUUUCUCUCUGAAUUGAAAAGAAAGUAAAGUUUUUACCAGACAACACCAGGAGUGGGGUUUGGAGCAAAGGUUGUAAACUACCUGUGAUGUCAAACUGUCUUGAUGAAGAAUUUUCAGCCCACUUUCUUGAAGAAAUGGGAUGUAUGCAUUCAGAGUCUCUCCAUCUGUAUAUACCUAAUGUAUUAUCUACUAGAUAACAAGGAGUGUAUCUAUCCUGUUACCUGUCCAUCAAGUGACAUUACAAAAGAUGAGUAUUUUCUUUAUUUGCAAAUCAAUUUUCAGGGAAUUUUUAGAAAUUUGGUAAUCUUUGUGUUCUCUAUUUCCAACAACUAUGGCUGA